Molecule: ribosomal RNA, 1323 nt
Filed under: metagenome
Description: bacterial LSU rRNA
Rfam family: Bacterial large subunit ribosomal RNA
Source: RNAcentral
AGUGGAUGGGGAGCAACCUAGUUGUGCGUGUGUAAAGGUAGUGCCAAGAAAAGCGGUGAUCAUGAUGAAAAUCAAUUCCCGGUACCCGAAACCGACACAGGUGGGCAAGUAGAGAAUACUAAGGGGCGCGAGGUAACUCUCUCCAAGGAACUCGGCAAAAUGACCCCGUAACUUAGGGAGAAGGGGUGCCACCGAGAGGUGGUCGCAGUGAAGAGGCCCAGGCGACUGUUUAGCAAAAACAUAGGUCUCUGCAAACUCGAAAGAGGAGGUAUAGGGGCUGACGCCUGCCCAGUGCCGGAAGGUUAAAGAAGUUGGUCAGUCUUAGGAUGAAGCUAGCGACUGAAGCCCCGGUGAACGGCGGCCGUAACUAUAACGGUCCUAAGGUAGCGAAAUUCCUUGUCGGGUAAGUUCCGACCCGCACGAAAGGCGCAACGAUCUGGGCGCUGUCUCGGAGAGAGGCUCGGCGAAAUAGGAUUGUCUGUGAAGAUACGGACUACCUGCAUUUGGACAGAAAGACCCUAUGAAGCUUUACUAUAGCUUGGAAUUGUGUUCGGGCUUCCUGUGCGCAGGAUAGGUGGGAGGCGUAGAAGGUAUUCUUGUGGGGAUACUGGAGCCAACGGUGAGAUACCACUCUCGGGAGGCUAGAAUUCUAACUUAAUUAAGGACAGUUUCAGGUGGGUAGUUUGACUGGGGCGGUCGCCUCCAAAAAGGUAACGGAGGCGUACAAAGGUUCCCUCAGACUGGUUGGAAAUCAGUCGAAGAGUGCAAAGGCAGAAGGGAGCUUGACUGCGAGAAGUACAGUUCGAGCAGGGUGGAAACACGGUCUUAGUGAUCCGACGGUGCUGUGUGGAAGGGCCGUCGCUCAACGGAUAAAAGUUACUCUAGGAUAACAGGCUGAUCUCCCCCAAGAGUUCACAUCGACGGGGAGGUUUGGCACCUCGAUGUCGGCUCAUCGCAACCUGGGGCGGAAGUACGUCCCAAGGGUUGGGCUGUUCGCCCAUUAAAGCGGUACGUGAGCUGGGUUCAGAACGUCGUGAGACAGUUCGGUCCAUAUCCGAUGUAGGCGUGAGAAUAUUGAGAGGAGCCUUCCUUAGUACGAGAGGACCGGGAAGGACGCACCGCUGGUGUACCUGUUAUGAUGCCAAUUGUAAACGCAGGGUAGCCAAGUGCGGAGAGGAUAACCGCUGAAAGCAUCUAAGUGGGAAGCCCACCUCAAGAUGAGUAUUCUGGUGUAAGGUCACGGGAAGACGACCCGUAAAUAGGCACGAGGUGGAAGUGCAGAGAUGUAUGAAGCCGAAGUGUACUAAUAGACCGUCGGCUUGA